RNAcentral lists this ribosomal RNA (440 nucleotides) under uncultured bacterium. Its description in RNAcentral is "partial 16S ribosomal RNA". It matches the Rfam family "Bacterial small subunit ribosomal RNA", at positions 338 to 795 of the family's 1533-position model. The record is from RNAcentral.
CCUACGGGUGGCAGCAGUGGGGAAUAUUGCACAAUGGGGGAAACCCUGAUGCAGCGACGCCGCGUGAGUGAAGAAGUAUUUCGGUAUGUAAAGCUCUAUCAGCAGGGAAGAAAAUGACGGUACCUGUUUAAGAAGCCACGGCUAACUACGUGCCAGCAGCCGCGGUAAUACGUAGGGGGCAAGCGUUAUCCGGAUUUACUGGGUGUAAGGGGAGCGUAGACGGCAGCACAAGUCUGGAGUGAAAUGCCCGGGCUUAACCCCGGAACUGCAUGGGAAACUGGGCAGCUAGAGUGCAGGAGAGGUAAGUGGAAUUCCUAGUGUAGCGGUGAAAUGCGUAGAUAUGAGGAGGAACACCAGUGGCGAAGGCGGCUUACUGGACUGAAACUGACGUUGAGGCUCGAAAGCGUGGGGAGCAAACAGGAUUAGAUACCCGAGUAGUC